This 504-nucleotide ribosomal RNA is filed under the name uncultured bacterium. RNAcentral's name for it is "partial 16S ribosomal RNA". It matches the Rfam family "Bacterial small subunit ribosomal RNA", at positions 30 to 523 of the family's 1533-position model. The record is from RNAcentral.
AUUGAACGCUGGCGGCAUGCCUUACACAUGCAAGUCGAACGGCGGCAUGGAGAGCUUGCUCUCUGAUGGCGAGUGGCGAACGGGUGAGUAAAGCAUCGGAACGUACCGUGUAGUGGGGGAUAACGUAGCGAAAGUUACGCUAAUACCGCAUACGCACUGAGGUGGAAAGCAGGGGAGCGCAAGACCUUGCGCUAUACGAGCGGCCGAUGUCAGAUUAGCUAGUUGGUAGGGUAAAGGCCUACCAAGGCGACGAUCUGUAGCGGGUCUGAGAGGAUGAUCCGCCACACUGGGACUGAGACACGGCCCAGACUCCUACGGGAGGCAGCAGUGGGGAAUUUUGGACAAUGGGGGCAACCCUGAUCCAGCCAUGCCGCGUGAGUGAAGAAGGCCUUCGGGUUGUAAAGCUCUUUCGGCCGGGAAGAAAUCGCACAGGCUAAUACUCUGUGUGGAUGACGGUACCGGCAUAAGAAGCACCGGCUAACUACGUGCCAGCCGCCGCCGUAA